UGUAGAGUCUCCACUCCCAGCGAUGCAACCAAAGUCUUUGGUUCUCAACCCAAAAUUCAGGUCAUUUCUUCUCACCCAAAACCAUUAACAGGGCCGGAGUGAUUCCACCGGUGAUGCCCGAUAUCAGUCCCCGCCGAACCUCGUCAUCUCUUUAGUCCUCCUUACUGCUGCCUUUUGGGUUCACUGAUGCCGCGGUCAACUGAGCUCAUCACCGAUGAAUACCCCGAUGAAGGUCCCCAAGUCGCCGUAUAAGGUGACUCCUGAUGUACAUUUCUAAAAAGAUUUGGGCUUAGAUAGCUUGGAUAAUGUGGAGAUUUUAAUGGCUCUAGAAGAAGAGUUCAAGCUUGAGAUUCCUGACAAGGAAGCCGAUAAGAUUGAUUCUGCAAAUCUGGCCAUUAAGGACAUCUAUAACCAUCCAAUAAUGGCUUCGUAACUACCUUUAGCAGUAGGCUUGUCUGAUUAUGUUUUGGAUUUGCAAGAUGAUUUCAGGUUGGCUAUUGGCUUGAUUGAUUAGCUUCUGUGCUGGUUUCUAUAUUGUUGAGAAAUUGUUGUUGUUAUUGGUGAAUUAGCUUAUGAAUUUUGUGAUGUGUUUGAUUCUUCAAGCUUUGGAUGCACGGGCAAUGAGUGAUGAUUUCUAUUUGAGCCAGGUGGAUUGGUUGCUGCAUAAUGUAUUAGCUAUGGGGUACGAAAACUGUGUUCAUUUGUGGAAUGUUUGUAGUAGUAAGGUGUAUGUAAUGUGCAUUUUCUGGAAUCACAAAGCUUUGCUCUUGCUAUGCUGGAGAAGGUUCAUUUGUUGUACUUUACAAUAUUAUAGAAGGAAUG
RNAcentral lists this long non-coding RNA (822 nucleotides) under Rosa chinensis. RNAcentral describes it as "sRNA RchiOBHm_Chr2g0164061". Lineage: Eukaryota; Viridiplantae; Streptophyta; Magnoliopsida; Rosales; Rosaceae. The record is from RNAcentral.